This 454-nucleotide ribosomal RNA is filed under the name uncultured Rikenella sp. RNAcentral describes it as "partial 16S ribosomal RNA". It matches the Rfam family "Bacterial small subunit ribosomal RNA", at positions 341 to 792 of the family's 1533-position model. The record is from RNAcentral. Lineage: Bacteria; Pseudomonadati; Bacteroidota; Bacteroidia; Bacteroidales; Rikenellaceae.
ACGGAAGGCAGCAGUGAGGAAUAUUGGUCAAUGGUCGGAAGACUGAACCAGCCAUGCCGCGUGAAGGAUUAAGGCCCUACGGGUCGUAAACUUCUUUUGUACGGGAGCAAUAAGGUCUACGUGUAGGCCGAUGAGAGUACCGUACGAAUAAGCAUCGGCUAACUCCGUGCCAGCAGCCGCGGUAAUACGGAGGAUGCGAGCGUUAUCCGGAUUUAUUGGGUUUAAAGGGUGCGUAGGCUGUUCUUCAAGUCAGAGGUGAAAUACCGGGGCUCAACCCUGGAACUGCCUUUGAUACUGGAGGGCUUGAAUACUGUUGCCGUGGGAGGAAUGAGUAGUGUAGCGGUGAAAUGCAUAGAUAUUACUCAGAACACCGAUUGCGAAGGCAUCUCACGAAGCAGCGAUUGACGCUGAGGCACGAAAGCGUGGGGAUCAAACAGGAUUAGAUACCCUGGUA